GAUGAACGCUGGCGGCGUGCCUAAUACAUGCAAGUCGAGCGAACAGACGAGGAGCUUGCUCCUCUGACGUUAGCGGCGGACGGGUGAGUAACACGUGGAUAACCUACCUAUAAGACUGGGAUAACUUCGGGAAACCGGCGCUAAUACCGGAUAAUAUCUUGAACCGCAUGGUUCAAUAGUGAAAGACGGUUUUGCUGUCACUUAUAGCUGGAUCCGCGCCGCAUUAGCUAGUUGGUAAGGUAACGGCUUACCAAGGCGACGAUGCGUAGCCGACCUGAGAGGGUGAUCGCCCACACGGGAACUGAGACGCGGUCCAGACGCCUACGGGAGGCACCAGUAGGGAAUCUUCCGCAAUGGGCGAAAGCCUGACGGAGCAACGCCGCGUGAGUGAUGAAGGUCUUCGGAUCGUAAAACUCUGUUAUUAGGGAAGAACAAAUGUGUAAGUAACUAUGCACGUCUUGACGGUACCUAAUCAGAAAGCCACGGCUAACUACGUG
This 497-nucleotide ribosomal RNA is filed under the name uncultured bacterium. RNAcentral describes it as "partial 16S ribosomal RNA". It matches the Rfam family "Bacterial small subunit ribosomal RNA", at positions 28 to 507 of the family's 1533-position model. The record is from RNAcentral.